UCCGGUUUGUCACCGGCGGUCCCCUUAGAGUUCCCAACUGAAUGCUGGCAACUAAGGGCAAGGGUUGCGCUCGUUGCGGGACUUAACCCAACAUCUCACGACACGAGCUGACGACAGCCAUGCAGCACCUGUGACCGGAUCCCGAAGGAGGGCCCUGGUUUCCCAAGGCUUUCCCGGCCAUGUCAAGCCCAGGUAAGGUUCUUCGCGUUGCGUCGAAUUAAACCACAUGCUCCACCGCUUGUGCGGGCCCCCGUCAAUUCCUUUGAGUUUCAGCCUUGCGGCCGUACUCCCCAGGCGGGGCACUUAAUGCGUUAGCGCCGACACUCAGGGGGUCGCUCCCCCAAGCAUCUAGUGCCCAUCGUUUACGGCGUGGACUAC
RNAcentral lists this unclassified non-coding RNA (378 nucleotides) under uncultured bacterium. RNAcentral describes it as "contains 16S-23S intergenic spacer region". The record is from RNAcentral.